AGGAUUUAGAUACCCUGGUAGUCCACGCCGUAAACGAUGUCGACUUGGAGGUUGUGCCCUUGAGGCGUGGCUUCCGGAGCUAACGCGUUAAGUCGACCGCCUGGGGAGUACGGCCGCAAGGUUAAAACUCAAAUGAAUUGACGGGGGCCCGCACAAGCGGUGGAGCAUGUGGUUUAAUUCGAUGCAACGCGAAGAACCUUACCUACUCUUGACAUCCAGAGAACUUUCCAGAGAUGGAUUGGUGCCUUCGGGAACUCUGAGACAGGUGCUGCAUGGCUGUCGUCAGCUCGUGUUGUGAAAUGUUGGGUUAAGUCCCGCAACGAGCGCAACCCUUAUCCUUUGUUGCCAGCGGUUAGGCCGGGAACUCAAAGGAGACUGCCAGUGAUAAACUGGAGGAAGGUGGGGAUGACGUCAAGUCAUCAUGGCCCUUACGAGUAGGGCUACACACGUGCUACAAUGGCGCAUACAAAGAGAAGCGACCUCGCGAGAGCAAGCGGACCUCAUAAAGUGCGUCGUAGUCCGGAUUGGAGUCUGCAACUCGACUCCAUGAAGUCGGAAUCGCUAGUAAUCGUAGAUCAGAAUGCUACGGUGAAUACGUUCCCGGGCCUUGUACACACCGCCCGUCACACCAUGGGAGUGGGUUGCAAAAGAAGUAGGUAGCUUAACCUUCGGGAGGGCGCUUACCACUUUGUGAUUCAUGANNGGGGUGAAGUCNUAACAAGGUA
This 725-nucleotide ribosomal RNA is filed under the name Enterobacter sp. RNAcentral's name for it is "bacterial SSU rRNA". It matches the Rfam family "Bacterial small subunit ribosomal RNA", at positions 774 to 1498 of the family's 1533-position model. The record is from RNAcentral. Lineage: Bacteria; Pseudomonadati; Pseudomonadota; Gammaproteobacteria; Enterobacterales; Enterobacteriaceae.